Molecule: ribosomal RNA, 253 nt
Filed under: uncultured bacterium
Lineage: Bacteria
Description: partial 16S ribosomal RNA
Rfam family: Bacterial small subunit ribosomal RNA
Source: RNAcentral
UACGGAGGGGGCUAGCGUUGUUCGGAAUUACUGGGCGUAAAGCGCACGUAGGCGGACUGUUAAGUCGGGGGGGAAAUCCUGGGGCUCAACCUCAGAAUUGCCUCCGAUACUGGCAGUCUCGAGUGGGGGAGAGGUGAGUGGAAUUCCCAGUGUAGAGGUGAAAUUCGUAGAUAUUGGGAAGAACACCAGUGGCGAAGGCGGCUCACUGGCCCGUAACUGACGCUGAGGUGCGAAGGCGUGGGGAGCAAACAGG